This 778-nucleotide ribosomal RNA is filed under the name uncultured Actinomycetes bacterium. RNAcentral's name for it is "bacterial SSU rRNA". It matches the Rfam family "Bacterial small subunit ribosomal RNA", at positions 8 to 790 of the family's 1533-position model. Lineage: Bacteria; Bacillati; Actinomycetota; Actinomycetes. The record is from RNAcentral.
AGGGUUUGAUCCUGGGCUCAGGACGAACGCUGGCGGCGUGCCUAAUGCAUGCAAGUCGAGCGACGCACCGGCCGCGCGUAAGCACAGCCGGUGACGGAGCGGCGAACGGGUGAGUAACACGUGAGGAACCUGCCCCGAAGACCGGGAUAGCCCGGGGAAACCCGGAUUAAUACCGGAUGCCCUCACCGGGCCGCAUGGUCUGGUGAGGAAAGGCCCCGACGCUUCGGGAUGGCCUCGCGGCCUAUCAGCUUGUUGGUGCGGGUAACGGCCCACCAAGGCUAUGACGGGUAGCUGGUCUGAGAGGACGGCCAGUCACACUGGGACUGAGACACGGCCCAGACUCCUACGGGAGGCAGCAGCAGGGAAUAUUGCACAAUGGGCGAAAGCCUGAUGCAGCGACGCCGCGUGAGGGAUGAAGGCCUUCGGGUUGUAAACCUCUUUCAGGAGGGACGAAAUUGACGGUACCUUCAGAAGUAGGCCCGGCCAACUACGUGCCAGCAGCCGCGGUAAUACGUAGGGGCCAAGCGUUGUCCGGAAUCAUUGGGCGUAAAGAGCUCGUAGGCGGCUCAGCAAGUCGGCCGUGAAAACCCGGAGCUCAACUCCGGGACGCCGGUCGAUACUGCUGUGGCUAGGGUCCGGUAGAGGAGAGUGGAAUUCCCGGUGUAGCGGUGAAAUGCGCAGAUAUCGGGAGGAACACCAGCAGCGAAGGCGGCUCUCUGGGCCGGUACCGACGCUGAGGANCGAAAGCGUGGGGAGCAAACAGGAUUAGAUACCCUGG